UGAAAAGAAAUCAAUAUUGGGGAAUU
Molecule: non-coding RNA, 26 nt
Filed under: Rattus norvegicus (Norway rat)
Lineage: Eukaryota; Metazoa; Chordata; Mammalia; Rodentia; Muridae
Source: RNAcentral